AGCUAAAUUUCCUAUAGCCAAAUGUAGCUUGGUGACACAAAAUACUGUAUUUGGUUAUUUAAAAGAAGAGGGGGAGGUAAAACGUAAGAAGGCCAGAGCACCUGGGACCUUGUUUUACUAAAGCUUAUUAUGUUUCAGUGGCCCUGGUUCCCCAUGACAAAAGUACAAAGAGUACCCGCAAGAAGUAAGUUGAAGAUAAGGAGUGAGGAGAAGGAAGGUUAGUGGUAAGGCCACCAGUGAUUCUAACAGCAAAGGGACAAGAAAAAAGACUGGAACUUUAUUUAGAGGAUAAAGCUGAUGCCUGGCUUGCCAUCUUGCCCAGAUGGGACCUCAGGCAUAGGUUCCUAACUGUGAAUAUCCUGAUUUUGAAGAAAACAGUAGAUUAAUUUCAACUGCUGGCAGCUUUCACUUGACCUUGCAAAGGUUACAAUUAUCCAGAAAUCUCAUACCUAUGAGGGAAGCCAACUUCUGUGUCAUGAGGACAUUCAAGCAGCACUAUGGAGCCAUCCAUGUGGCUAGGAGCUGAAACUGAGCCAAGAAGCAGUGAGGAACUGGCUGGUAACAGCCAUGUGGGUAAAAGCCAUCUGAGAAGUGCAUGCUCUAGUCUCAGUCAAGCCUUCAGAAGACUGUGGCACCUGACAUCUCCACUGCAACCUCAUUAGAAACUCAAGACAGAACUGCCAGAGAAGCUCUUCCUGAAUUUCUGACCUACAGAAACGGAAGAAAUUGUGUUUUGGAAUUGGGCCAACAGUAUGUGUUUCUCCGGUGGAUAAGCAAAAUUUCAUAAGAACAAAGAUGAUUCAAGCAGAUGUUUAUCAUGAAACUGCCAUAAAAAGCACCCGAAGUCACAAAGAUAAACAUCAAAUCCAGUCCUUGGAAAUUUCCCCCACCCUACCUGAGCAUCUUUUGAAGUAGAUAUUCAAUUAUUUUGAAGGAUUUUUAAAGAAUUUUCUAGAUUUCAUCUAAAAGACACUUUUGAAAUCUGCGUUAAAAUUCAUGGAAAUAUAUCCUAGAUGAAUUUGGAGGAAUGUAAGCAAGUAGGUACAAACCUUUAUUUUAUCCCUCAGUGACUCACUCAGUUGUGAAUAGGAAGGGCUCUCUGUGAUCUGGCCACAGCUUAUUUCUUGCCACAUUCCUAUUUUCAGUCCUCUUCCAAUCAUGUGGAACUUCCAGCAUCUCCUUACACAUGCCAUGUUAUUUCACACUUUUGUGACUUUGCUCAUAUUUUUCUCUCUCCCUGGAAAGCUCCCCGACAACCUCCACUGCCAUUACCCACUAGGCAAGUACAUCCUGUUUUCAGAAUCAGCCCAAUAUCAUCUUUCCUAGGGAAUCUUGUCAGACUGCCCUUCAUUACCAACAGACAAAAUAACUACCUUAUCUUUGGUUCUGUCUUCACUCUAGACCUAUGUAGCAUGCUACUUAUAACACUGCAUUGGUUUGUUGGCAUUUGUAUUUUCCACUGAGCAACCAUAACUUAUGUGUAGACAAAAAUUGUAUUGCUCACCUUUGGAUUACUAGGACCUAGCAGUGUUCUGAUUCAGAGUAUGUACUCAAUAAAUUCAUCUUGAAAAGUGAAUGAAUGAAUAAAUGAACGCCUGCAUCUCCAUCAUUGAUUUACUAUUUAAUCAGUGAAGUUUUUAAAUUAUAUUCCCCCAUAUCUUGAGAUUUGAUCUUGUGUUAAAUCAGUUGCACAUAUUAGACAUUACUUUGUCCUUUUCACUUCUCCUUAGCACAUAUGGGCUAUAUAAUCUUUAUAAAGGUUAAAGAAAUAUAUUGUAAUAUGUUAUAACACAAUCAAGAUACAUCUGAAACAACAUAGUGCAGGCACUAUUUCCGAUGUUCAACAUCAUGCUGGAGUAAAACUUAGAGACUCUUGGAAAAAAGAAAUACUUAAAUAAUGUCACCAGUGUAAUGUGCUACAUUGUAAUGGUGUUAUGCUUAUUACAUGUGUUAUCUAGUAAUGCACAAAAAGCCUAAUGGAUUUGCUCAUAUUUUCCUCAUGUGCAAAUGAAAACACUGAGUCUCAGAGAGAUUAAAUAAAUUGCCAAAUGUCAUGUCAA
This 2060-nucleotide long non-coding RNA is filed under the name Homo sapiens (human). RNAcentral describes it as "HSALNT0367685". Lineage: Eukaryota; Metazoa; Chordata; Mammalia; Primates; Hominidae. The record is from RNAcentral.